CUUCUUUCAUCUAAACUCUAAACUCUAGAUAUUCAUCUCACUCUUCAUCUUCUUCAUUAUGCAUCUACUAAAACAUUUUUCAGAUUAGAACCCCCAAAAACCCAGACCACACCACCACCGCUGAACCAACACCGCGCCACCACCGCACCACCACCACCAAGUUUAUGUAUUUUUCUUUGGAUCUGGCCCUUGUUCAACAUUGAAGCUCAAAGAUGAGAAAAAAAUGUGAAAGCUUCAAGCUUUUCACCCAGAUCGGAAAAGAAAGCUUCAGAUCUGGCCUCAACAUCUGAGUCUGUGGCACGCUAUCAUUCCUCCUUGCUCAAGCCCAGCCGCAGCUCCUGGUCCUCUUCCAUGGCAGAAUCGGUUUGCACCGCCAAAAUGAACUUGGGUGAUGAGGUGGACCUGGAGGAUUAUGUUUCUCGACCUGUCAAAAUUAGUGCUGCGGUGAUAUCUGCCAUUUGUCAAGAAGCAGGAAUGUCAAAGUCCAUUGUUAGAGCGAGAGGAAGAGACGAGGGUUGAGGCAAGAAACGCAGAUCUCAGAAGAAAAACCCAGCUUACACUCAACAAGUUUCCACCUUGCUUAUUCGACUUCUGAAAGAGUUUUUCAUUUGUGCUAGUUUCUUUUAGUUGCAGAACUCAUGUAGUUAAAGGGUACAUUUCAAGAGUAGUGUCUAGGUUGUGUAAUAUUCACGAGAAAUUAUACUAUAUGUUUUGUUCUUAAUUUCUCUUCUUUUCUGGAUUUUAUUGUUAGAGGAUGUAGGUGAUAAUAAUAAAGAUUAGAGAUUAAGGACGAUGUGAUUAUAUUUUUACAAUAAUUAAUUUCAUUUUAAAAAAAAUGAUUUAACUUGUUGUAA
Molecule: long non-coding RNA, 854 nt
Organism: Lotus japonicus
Lineage: Eukaryota; Viridiplantae; Streptophyta; Magnoliopsida; Fabales; Fabaceae
Exons: 2
Source: RefSeq, a predicted model, not a curated record